UUCGUAGUCCAGUGUUGCUAGUCUCCUUUCUCACCAGCACUCUGUGACUGCAACA
RNAcentral lists this microRNA precursor (55 nucleotides) under Cordylochernes scorpioides. The record is from RNAcentral. Lineage: Eukaryota; Metazoa; Arthropoda; Arachnida; Pseudoscorpiones; Chernetidae.